RNAcentral lists this small RNA (4195 nucleotides) under Pan troglodytes (chimpanzee). Its description in RNAcentral is "retained intron". Lineage: Eukaryota; Metazoa; Chordata; Mammalia; Primates; Hominidae. The record is from RNAcentral.
GCCGCCCGCCAUUUUGACUCCAGUGUCUCGUUUGCAGUCGGCGCGUUAGGGGAACUGUCUUCCUCCGCAGGCGCGAGGCUGGGUACAGGGUCUAUUGUCUGUGGUUGACUCCGUACUUUGGUCUGAGGCCGUCGGGAGCUUUCCCGAGGCAGUUAGCAGAAGCCGCAGCGGCCGCCCCCGCCCGUCUCCUCUGUCCCUGGGCCCGGGAGGGACCAACUUCGCGUCACGCCCCUCAGCGGUGGCCACUCUCUUCUCUGUCGUUGGGUCCGCAUCGUAUUCCCGGAAUCAGACGGUGCCCCAUAGAUGGCCAGCUUUCCCCCGAGGGUCAACGAGAAAGAGAUCGUGAGAUCACGUACUAUAGGUGAACUUUUAGCUCCUGCAGCUCCUUUUGACAAGAAAUGUGGUCGUGAAAAUUGGACUGUUGCUUUUGCUCCAGAUGGUUCAUACUUUGCUUGGUCACAAGGACAUCGCACAGUAAAGCUUGUUCCGUGGUCCCAGUGCCUUCAGAACUUUCUCUUGCAUGGCACCAAGAAUGUUACCAAUUCAAGCAGUUUAAGAUUGCCAAGACAAAAUAGUGAUGGUGGUCAGAAAAAUAAGCCUCGUGAACAUAUUAUAGACUGUGGAGAUAUUGUCUGGAGUCUUGCUUUUGGGUCGUCAGUUCCAGAAAAACAGAGUCGCUGUGUAAAUAUAGAAUGGCAUCGCUUCAGAUUUGGACAAGAUCAGCUACUUCUUGCUACAGGGUUGAACAAUGGGCGUAUCAAAAUAUGGGAUGUAUAUACAGGAAAACUCCUCCUUAACUUGGUAGAUCAUACUGAAGUGGUCAGAGAUUUAACUUUUGCUCCAGAUGGAAGCUUGAUCCUGGUGUCAGCUUCAAGAGACAAAACUCUCAGAGUAUGGGACCUGAAAGAUGAUGGAAACAUGAUGAAAGUAUUGAGGGGGCAUCAGAAUUGGGUGUACAGCUGUGCAUUCUCUCCUGACUCUUCUAUACUGUGUUCAGUCGGAGCCAGUAAAGCAGUGGUGGCAGCAAUAUUGGUGUGAUUGAGGUUAUGCUGGCACCACUCGCACACAGGCGCACAAUGGUGUUAGCUGGGCAGAAAGAGUGGCAUCUCUGGCUACCGGGCUGGGGGCGACCUUUACCAUAGGAUGAAGUAACCUUGCAUUCGGCUGCAAGGUGUACUGUACGUACACAGGUGCUGGUCGAUGUCCACUUUCUGCUUUUCUUUCUUUCUUUUUUUCUUUUUUAAAGUAAUUUCCCCCACAGUAAAAUACACUGACUCCUGAGUAAAUUGAUUUUCCAGUUUUAUGGAAUUGGGAGUCUGACAAGUGAAACCAAUUUAAUGUAAAGUAUUUGGCUUUCAAAUGGUUUCUCUGUGCUAUUUUUUGGAAUUCUUUCAGAUUCCAGAGAUAUCUUACGUCUUUGAUUCAAUUUAAAAUUUGUACUUAUUUUCUUUUAGAAAUAAUGUAUUGUGUCUGUGCAGAAAAAAAAAACCAAAAAGGAUUGCUUUACUCUCCAAAAAGAGGAGAGAUUGUCUUAGGAUAAACCUCCAAGCUCACAUUUAAUAUAACAGACUGAAGUAAACAUUAGAAUCCUGUUUAGAGCUAUUCUGCACAGUUAACUACUGAUCUUUAGAAUCUAAAAUUGUAUAUGAACUUAUUCUUAAAUAAUUGAACCGUUUUAUAUUCAAAUGACUUAUGAUCGUGGUUAGUUUGGGAAAAAUAAGAUGGUUAAAUUUUGAUUUAUUGAAAUGUAAUUGUAUUAUUUUCAUAAAAUAGCAUUUUCAUUUUGUAAUGUGGUUUAACAUCCUUGUUGUUUGCCAAAGAAAUUUCAUUUGGCUGUGAAUAUUCUAUUUGCUUGCAGUAUCUGUUUCUCUUCCUAGGCUCAAGUUGGUGACCCAAGCCUAUUGUAAACAAGUGAUUAUCUCAAAGGGAGAUGCCAAUGGAGUAACAAUUUGUUAACCUUACGUUUUCUGUCUGUAUAUUUUUUUAAAAAUCUGGUAGUUUCUGGAAAAAAAAGAGAAGGGGGUUUGUAGUACUUAACCCUAUUUAUUUCCAUAUAUUUUAGUUAAUUAGUUUUUGGAAUAAAUGGAUUUCAGUAUAGCUUUGUGGUUAAAUUGCAUUGCCUUUAUUUUAUGUUUAGGCUUAUUUUUAAAUUAACAUUUAACAGAAACAUUUGAAAUAGAAUUUGCAUGUCUGCCUUAAUUAACUUAAAGACUGAUUUUAAUCUGACUAUGACACUGAGCAUAUUCUUUAAAUUACUCAUAAUUUAUAAUGCUUAAUAUAAUCUUAAUUAAAUUUAGCAGUUUUAGUUUAAGAUGUGCCAUUUUGUCCUCUGUAUGUCUGAAUGAAGCUAUAACAUUUGCCUUUUUAUUGCAGGUUUUCCUUUGGAAUAUGGAUAAAUACACCAUGAUACGGAAACUAGAAGGACAUCACCAUGAUGUGGUAGCUUGUGACUUUUCUCCUGAUGGAGCAUUACUGGCUACUGCAUCUUAUGAUACUCGAGUAUAUAUCUGGGAUCCACAUAAUGGAGACAUUCUGAUGGAAUUUGGGCACCUGUUUCCCCCACCUACUCCAAUAUUUGCUGGAGGAGCAAAUGACCGGUGGGUACGAUCUGUAUCUUUUAGCCAUGAUGGACUGCAUGUUGCAAGCCUUGCUGAUGAUAAAAUGGUGAGGUUCUGGAGAAUUGAUGAGGAUUAUCCAGUGCAAGUUGCACCUUUGAGCAAUGGUCUUUGCUGUGCCUUCUCUACUGAUGGCAGUGUUUUAGCUGCUGGGACACAUGACGGAAGUGUGUAUUUUUGGGCCACUCCACGGCAGGUCCCUAGCCUGCAACAUUUAUGUCGCAUGUCAGUCCGAAGAGUGAUGCCCACCCAAGAAGUUCAGGAGCUGCCAAUUCCUUCCAAGCUUUUGGAGUUUCUCUCGUAUCGUAUUUAGAAGAUUCUGCCUUCCCUAGUAGUAGGGACUGACAGAAUACACUUAACACAAACCUCAAGCUUUACUGACUUCAAUUAUCUGUUUUUAAAGACAUAGAAGAUUUAUUUAAUUUGAUAUGUUCUUGUACUGCAUUUUGAUCAGUUGAGCUUUUAAAAUAUUAUUUAUGGACAAUAGAAGUAUUUCUGAACAUAUCAAAUAUAAAUUUUUUUAAAGAUCUAACUGUGAAAACAUACAUACAUGUAUAUAUUUAGAUAUAAGCUGCUAUAUGUUGAAUGGACCCUUUUGCUUUUCUGAUUUUUAGUUCUGACAUGUAUAUAUUGCUUCAGUAGAGCCACAAUAUGUAUCUUUGCUGUAAAGUGCAAGGAAAUUUUAAAUUCUGGGACACUGAGUUAGAUGGUAAAUACUGACUUACGAAAGUUGAAUUGGGUGAGGCGGGCAAAUCACCUGAGGUCAGCAGUUUGAGACUAGCCUGGCAAACAUGAUGAAACCCUGUCUCUACUAAAAAUACAAAAAAAAAAAAAAUUAGCCAGGCGUGGUGGUGCACACCUGUAGUCCUAGCUACUUGGGAGGCUGAGGCAGGAGAAUUGCUUGAACCCAGGAGGUGGAGGUUGCAGUAAGCCAAGAUCACACCACUGCACUCCAACCUGGACAACAGAGCGAGACUCCAUCUCAAAAAAAAAAAAAAAAGUUGUGUUGCCUCAUACGAAAUGUAUUUGGUUUUGUUGGAGAGUGUCAGACUGAUCUGGAAGUGAAACACAGUUUAUGUACAGGGAAAAGGAUUUUAUUAUCCUUAGGAAUGUCAUCCAAGACGUAGAGCUUGAAUGUGACGUUAUUUAAAAACAAUAACAACAAAGAAGGCAGAGCCAGGAUAUAACUAGAAAAAGGAUGUCUUUUUUUUUUUUUUUACUCCCCCUCUAAACACUGCUGCUGCCUUAAUUUUAGAAAGCAGCUUACUAGUUUACCCUUGUGGUAUAAAGUAUUAUAAAUUGUUGUGAAUUUGAAGAAUCCAUCUACUGUAUUAUUGCUAAAUAUUUUGUUUAUACUAAGGGACAAUUAUUUUAAGACCAUGGAUUAAAAAAAAAAAAAAAAAACUCUAUGUUUCUGCAGGGGAUGAUAUUGGUGAGUUGCCAAAGAAGCAAUACAGCGUAUCUGCUUUUGCCUUCUGUUGUUUAUCUUACCUGCAGAUAUUAAGAAUGUAUGCAUUAUGUAAAAUGCUCAAUUAUAUAUUUUUGUUGAGUUUUUUAAUUAAAGACUUGUAAAAAAAAAA